Molecule: ribosomal RNA, 253 nt
Filed under: uncultured bacterium
Lineage: Bacteria
Description: partial 16S ribosomal RNA
Rfam family: Bacterial small subunit ribosomal RNA
Source: RNAcentral
UACGUAGGGUGCGAGCGUUGUCCGGAAUUAUUGGGCGUAAAGAGCUUGUAGGCGGUUUGUCGCGUCUGCCGUGAAAUUUCGGGGCUCAACCCCGAACUUGCGGUGGGUACGGGCAGACUAGAGUGUGGUAGGGGAGACUGGAAUUCCUGGUGUAGCGGUGAAAUGCGCAGAUAUCAGGAGGAACACCGAUGGCGAAGGCAGGUCUCUGGGCCACUACUGACGCUGAGGCGCGACAGCGUGGGGAGCAAACAGG